UUGACCUCGGAUCAGGUAGGGAUACCCGCUGAACUUAAGCAUAUCAAUAAGCGGAGGAAAAGAAACCAACAGGGAUUGCCUCAGUAACGGCGAGUGAAGCGGCAACAGCUCAAAUUUGAAAUCUGGCUCCUUCGGGGUCCGAAUUGUAAUUUGUAGAGAGUGCUUCGGGCGAGACCUCGGUCUAAGUCCAUUGGAACAUGGUGUCAUAGAGGGUGAGAAUCCCGUAUGCGACCGUGGCUCGAGCCCAUGUGAAGCCUCUUCGACGAGUCGAGUUGUUUGGGAAUGCAGCUCAAAAUGGGUGGUAAAUUUCAUCUAAAGCUAAAUACUGGCUGGAGACCGAUAGCGCACAAGUAGAGUGAUCGAAAGAUGAAAAGCACUUUGGAAAGAGAGUCAAACAGUACGUGAAAUUGUUGAAAGGGAAGCGCUUGCAACCAGACCUGCCCGUAGGCGAUCCGCCGCUGUUCUCAGCGGUGUACUCGCUCUGCGAUCAGGCCAGCAUCGGUUUCGGCGGUCGGAUAAAGGCCUUGGGAAUGUAGCUUCCCCUCGGGGGAGUCUUAUAGCCCUCGGUGUAAUGCGGCCAGCUGGGACCGAGGACCGCGCUUCGGCUAGGAUGCUGGCGUAAUGGUUGUAAGCGACCCGUCUUGAAACACGGACCAAGGAGUCUAACAUCUAUGCGAGUGUUUGGGUGUCAAACCCAUACGCGAAAUGAAAGUGAACGGAGGUGAGAACCCUCAAGGGCGCAUCAUCGACCGAUCCAGAUGUCUUCGGAUGGAUUUGAGUAUGAGCAUAGCUGUUGGGACCCGAAAGAUGGUGAACUAUGCCUGAAUAGGGUGAAGCCAGAGGAAACUCUGGUGGAGGCUCGCAGCGGUUCUGACGUGCAAAUCGAUCGUCAAAU
RNAcentral lists this ribosomal RNA (895 nucleotides) under Xanthoparmelia subramigera. RNAcentral's name for it is "eukaryotic LSU rRNA". It matches the Rfam family "Eukaryotic large subunit ribosomal RNA", at positions 1 to 910 of the family's 3401-position model. Lineage: Eukaryota; Fungi; Ascomycota; Lecanoromycetes; Lecanorales; Parmeliaceae. The record is from RNAcentral.